UGGCGAACGGGUGAGUAACACGUGGGUAACCUGCCCAUCAGAAGGGGAUAACACUUGGAAACAGGUGCUAAUACCGUAUAACACUAUUUUCCGCAUGGAAGAAAGUUGAAAGGCGCUUUUGCGUCACUGAUGGAUGGACCCGCGGUGCAUUAGCUAGUUGGUGAGGUAACGGCUCACCAAGGCAACGAUGCAUAGCCGACCUGAGAGGGUGAUCGGCCACACUGGGACUGAGACACGGCCCAGACUCCUACGGGAGGCAGCAGUAGGGAAUCUUCGGCAAUGGACGAAAGUCUGACCGAGCAACGCCGCGUGAGUGAAGAAGGUUUUCGGAUCGUAAAACUCUGUUGUUAGAGAAGAACAAGGAUGAGAGUAAAACGUUCAUCCCUUGACGGUAUCUACCAGAAAC
Molecule: ribosomal RNA, 406 nt
Filed under: Enterococcus casseliflavus
Lineage: Bacteria; Bacillati; Bacillota; Bacilli; Lactobacillales; Enterococcaceae
Description: bacterial SSU rRNA
Rfam family: Bacterial small subunit ribosomal RNA
Source: RNAcentral